This 505-nucleotide ribosomal RNA is filed under the name uncultured bacterium. Its description in RNAcentral is "partial 16S ribosomal RNA". It matches the Rfam family "Bacterial small subunit ribosomal RNA", at positions 28 to 507 of the family's 1533-position model. The record is from RNAcentral.
GACGAACGCUGGCGGCGUGCCUAAUACAUGCAAGUAGAACGCACAGUUUAUACCGUAGCUUGCUACACCAUAGACUGUGAGUUGCGAACGGGUGAGUAACGCGUAGGUAACCUGCCUGGUAGCGGGGGAUAACUAUUGGAAACGAUAGCUAAUACCGCAUAAUAUUAAUUAUUGCAUGAUAAUUAAUUGAAAGGUGCAAUUGCACCACUACCAGAUGGACCUGCGUUGUAUUAGCUAGUAGGUGAGGUAACGGCUCACCUAGGCGACGAUACAUAGCCGACCUGGGAGGGUGAUCGGCCACACUGGGACUGGGACACGGCCCAGACUCCUACGGGAGGCAGCAGUAGGGAAUCUUCGGCAAUGGACGAAAGUCUGACCGAGCAACGCCGCGUGAGUAAAGAAGGUUUUCGGAUCGUAAAGCUCUGUUGUAAGAGAAGAACGGGUGUGAGAGUGGAAAGUUCACACUGUGACGGUAUCUUACCAGAAAGGGACGGCUAACUACGUG